Meleagris gallopavo (turkey) is the source of this 573-nucleotide non-coding RNA. Lineage: Eukaryota; Metazoa; Chordata; Aves; Galliformes; Phasianidae. The record is from RefSeq and is a predicted model, not a curated record.
UUAACAGUGAAGACUUUCAGUCAAGUGCACUGGACCUCUAUUUAAGAAGAGCUGGUACUCCAGUUUCCUUGAAGAACUUUGUAGUCCUGAGACCAAGUUUCUUUGUGGAAGAAAUAGUAAACUUCUCUGAGCCAUCUCAGCCUUCCUUUGUAUCACUAACAUUUCCAGCACAGAAUUUGUUUCAGAAAUACUUGAAGAAGUACAAGGCAGACCUCGUUUCAGGCAGCACCAUAUUUCUUAUCCACAAGGCUGGCCAUGAAAAAAGUGUGAAUUGGAGUUGCAUAACAGGCUUUUGGUUUGCAAAGUUCACAUAAAUAUUUUCUCAAAACAAGUUGUUGCAUCUGAGAGGAAAAAAAAUGAAUUGGACACAAAUAUUGAAAAUAAGGCAGACUUUAGACAUCAUUUCUUAUAGAGGGGACAAGCUUUCAGCUCCAGGAUUAUAUGGCCACAAUGAUCUCUCUCUGGACUCCCUCUCCAGGGAUUUGGCGAGGUGCAACUGUCACAGGUUACAGAUGCUGUCUUCCAAAAAUGAAUUCUCCUGCUAUCAUCUCAUGUUAUGUAAGAGCUCCAAAC